This 438-nucleotide ribosomal RNA is filed under the name soil bacterium 3V-08. RNAcentral's name for it is "bacterial SSU rRNA". It matches the Rfam family "Bacterial small subunit ribosomal RNA", at positions 24 to 464 of the family's 1533-position model. The record is from RNAcentral.
UCAGGAUGAACGCUGGCGGCGUGCUUAACACAUGCAAGUCGAACGAUGAACCUCACUUGUGGGGGGAUUAGUGGCGAACGGGUGAGUAACACGUGAGUAACCUGCCCUUGACUCUGGGAUAAGCCUGGGAAACUGGGUCUAAUACCGGAUAUGACCUUCCAUCGCAUGGUGGUUGGUGGAAAGCUUUUGUGGUUUUGGAUGGACUCGCGGCCUAUCAGCUUGUUGGUGGGGUAAUGGCCUACCAAGGCGACGACGGGUAGCCGGCCUGAGAGGGUGACCGGCCACACUGGGACUGAGACACGGCCCAGACUCCUACGGGAGGCAGCAGUGGGGAAUAUUGCACAAUGGGCGCAAGCCUGAUGCAGCGACGCCGCGUGAGGGAUGACGGCCUUCGGGUUGUAAACCUCUUUCAGUAGGGAAGAAGCGAGAGUGACGUAC